Molecule: long non-coding RNA, 252 nt
Filed under: Gossypium raimondii (Peruvian cotton)
Lineage: Eukaryota; Viridiplantae; Streptophyta; Magnoliopsida; Malvales; Malvaceae
Description: long non-coding RNA (GRAI_LNC002789)
Source: RNAcentral
CGUUCACUAUUGUUAUUUGUGUUUAAAAAAUUGGUUUUUAAUAUUAAAAUAUUUAUUGUAUUUUUUAUUUCUUUCGUUUUCCUCCUUUUCCCCUUUCUCUUCUUCUUCUUCUUUUUUUUCUUCUUCUUCUUCCCAACAAAUCUAGCAGCCACCGAUUCCACCACCGCUGGUGGCUUCCCCGAACACCAAACCCGUUGAUGGAUCUCCCAAGGCUUUCCUCAAAACACCCUUUUUUCCAUCAUCAAAGCCUUU